Pelobates cultripes (western spadefoot toad) is the source of this 1161-nucleotide non-coding RNA. The record is from the annotation of a GenBank genome assembly. Lineage: Eukaryota; Metazoa; Chordata; Amphibia; Anura; Pelobatidae.
CUACAUCUCUAGAUAACUUUUUAUGUGUGAAUUAUAUACCAAAAACAAAACUAGUUCUAUAUUUUUAUGCUGAUUAGUUAUAUAUGAAAUUGCAUAAAAUAUUGAACUCAUGUGUUAUUUUUUCUUUAUAUGAUUUAUACACUUUUUUUAAUCUGAAGCUGUACAAAUGAUCCCCAAAUGUAAACUAGCACCCACUUUCACCACUCUGUAUUGUAUACUGUUUAAUAGUAUGGGGGGAGGGUGCAAAUUUGUGGAUCAAAGAGAAAUAUUUUUGCGCUGGGUGUUUUUGUUCAUAUCAUAUAAAAGGUGAAACCGUCUUACUUAUCGCCUCCCUUUCAGACCUGGCUGUGGUUGAAAUAACCUGUGUGGUGCUAACCUCCUUAUAUCAGCAUAUGCAAUAAAAAUGGAAUAACUCGUGGUAGAGAGCCCAUCUACAAAGCAUUAGCUCCAGAAUAUAACUUGGGGCUUACAAUGUCAAGUCCUAUGCUACUCGCCAGACCUUAAGUUAGUCACAAACCUGGGGAGGCCAUUGCAUGUUCACCAGGGCUAUGUUUUUGACUUGCCAAUGGCUAAUUGAAAUUUUGAGCCCUGUAUUACAGAUCAGCUGUACAAUUAAAGCUUGAAAAAAAAGAAAAUAAAUUUUUUUAUAUACCAGUGGUUUCCAAACCAUUCAUCAAGGCCCUCACCCCCCACCAGUCCAGGACUUCAGGAUUACCCACUUGUCUUAGGUUUUGCCCUCCCCUUCUACUAAAAACACCUUGAACACAACUGGGUAAUCCCUAAAUCCUGGACUAAAAGGGUGCUUUGAACGGAUUUGGGAACCACGGCUAUAAACAGUUUCUGUGGAAAAGGUGAAGCAAUAUUGCCAAACAAAACGCUGUAUGCAAAGAGAGUACACAGAAAUAAAAAAAUAAAAAAAGUGUGAGGGUAACUGCUACGGCCUGAAAUGCACAUCUUGGAGAAACAUACUCCAGCCAGUUGGGGGGAAAAAAAAAAUACUUACUGUUUAAUAUGUUUAUGUAUAUUGUUAUACCAUAUCUUCCGGUCUCUUUUUGUGGGUUGCAAGCUCCAAACAGCAAACCAUUGGGUAGGAUAGUGCAAUCCCUAUGGGGCAAAUAAAACUCUCAUAGCUAAACAUGUUUGCAGGCUCUGUUUGUUCCG